Molecule: long non-coding RNA, 603 nt
Filed under: Phasianus colchicus (ring-necked pheasant)
Lineage: Eukaryota; Metazoa; Chordata; Aves; Galliformes; Phasianidae
Description: lncRNA (ENSPCLG00000017377.1)
Source: RNAcentral
GGGUCAGUUGGAAAGACAUGGGUUGGGGUCAAUGAAUCCCAAUAUUUGGGGUCACUGAAGCCAAAAUUUGGGGUCAAGAAGGCCAAAAAUGGGGGUCAGUGGGAGGGACGUGUGUUGGGGUCAAUGAGACCCAAAGUUUGGGGUCACCAGGGCCAAAACUUGGGGUCAAGAAGGCCAAAAUUUGGGGGUCAAUUGGAAAGACAUGGGUUGGAGUCAAUGAGACCCAAAGUCUGGGGUCACUGAAGCCAAAAUUUGGAGUCAAGAAGGCCAAAAUUUGGGGGUCAGUGGGAGGGACACGGGUUGGGGUCAAUGAAGCCGAAGUUUGGUGCCAACCAAGCCCAGAAACUGGAGGUCACCAAGAACCAAAUUUGGGGGUGAACGAGGUGCUGAUCUGAGCUGAAACGAGCCCGUUUUUGGACUCAAGAACGCCAGAAGUUGGGCCGGGGCGAAAAAAAUCCCACGUUGAGAAAAAAAACAAAGCCCAAGCCAUCAGGAAAAGAAACCAGCACCGGGUGUAACGAAAACGAAUAACGCAGCGCUCGACGCCUUGUCGGGCACAACGAAGCCAUCCUGCCUAAACCUGGUGGGAAGCGGGUGAAAAUU